UAUUUCAGGAAAAUUCAAGACAGAUCUGCUACAGUAACUGUACAUAAAGUAGCAUACAUGUGUGACAGGAAAGGAGGAAAAUGUAUGGCUGGACUGAGAAUCUAACCUGGGACCCCUGCAUCACUAGCCAGGUAUCUUAUGGACAUACAUGAUCCUUGGCUAAUCAAGUGUCAUCUGCAGUGUUACAAAAGAAUAUUGGAAUUAUGUCAAUAAGAAAAAGAACUAUCAGAAGGAUACAGUAAAGAGGAACAGACGUAUCCAACCCAUUAGAUAUGUGCUUCAAAAUCUGAAUAUACAGAAUGAAUUCCGCUCAUUGGAGCUCCUUCUGAAAAUAACACCUUUGUUGUAUUGACAUAGAAUCAACAGAAUUGUCUGGUUCCUUAAACAUGACACAACUAGCUGCAUAUGAUGGCAAUUAAAGAUUCAUACAUGUUUACAUUGAUCUUCGUCAGCCAAUAAGCCA
Saccostrea echinata is the source of this 463-nucleotide long non-coding RNA. RefSeq lists it as uncharacterized. Lineage: Eukaryota; Metazoa; Mollusca; Bivalvia; Ostreida; Ostreidae. The transcript is spliced from 3 exons. The record is from RefSeq and is a predicted model, not a curated record.